AUCCAAGUUUACCAUAAAAGCACAAUGUUCUUCAGGGUAUUGGGCAAAGGAACACACAGCCUGAGAAGGAUGCUCCACAGCUUGGGCAUUGUAGUACACUCGCGUGUUUACCCAAGAGGAAGGAUGCUUUCUCAGCCUUGUGCUUCUUCUCAAUACUGGUUGGUUCUGAACCUGCUCCACUUGGACACUCGGUUCUGGUGCUUCAGCCUGAGCUUCUACUUCUCCUUGGCUUUGAUCAUCUUGAUUGUGAGAGCCUGAAACACUCUCUUCUUCUUCUUCACUCAAGCCGGCUCCAUCCUGACCAUUUUCUUGAGUUUCAGAUUCCCUGCCCCCCUCACGAUCA
This 343-nucleotide long non-coding RNA is filed under the name Brassica napus (rape). Its description in RNAcentral is "long non-coding RNA (BNAP_LNC002645)". The record is from RNAcentral. Lineage: Eukaryota; Viridiplantae; Streptophyta; Magnoliopsida; Brassicales; Brassicaceae.